AAUUUUCCCACAAGACGACAACCUCCUUGACUUCUCCAGCACGCCCUCUUGCAUAGCCACCGCUCCUCUGGCUUUCCUGCUUCCGUGCGCCGUCUUUAACCUCGUGGGUUUGCGGUACUGGCGGCGGCAGAUGGGGGCGGCGGCUGGAUCAGGACUGUGAGGGCAGCAGAUUAAAGGGAGAGAAAGAAGCCCCGGUCUAGUCACCAGGUGGCAAUGGAGAGCAUGCUGGUGAACUUUCAACCUCAUCUGCUUUCGUGUUGAAGAUAUAUAGACAAAAGAGCAACACAUUGAGUAGUUACUUUAAAGUGAUGACUUUGUAAGUACAAUAUUUUAUAGUUCUAUAUAUGCAAGAGACGUUCAUGUUU
Molecule: long non-coding RNA, 365 nt
Organism: Triticum aestivum (bread wheat)
Lineage: Eukaryota; Viridiplantae; Streptophyta; Magnoliopsida; Poales; Poaceae
Exons: 2
Source: RefSeq, a predicted model, not a curated record